AGGCUUGCGAAAGCGGUCGGCUAUCCCUAUAUCUCUUGGUGCCGGGCAACCGGCUAUGGCGAUAAACACCGUAUGGAAUAAACGUUACGGACCCGGGGGCGGUACCCGGCGCCUCCACCAAGAGCCCAUGACCCAGGUGUGGACCAGGGACGUUCUCGUGGGUUGUUGCUGGGGGCGAAUCAGGCUCGACGUGCGUGGUAAAGAUACGACUUUCGCUCGGCAUGGUUCCGCCGUCAUCGGGCCAUAUCACAAGUGCCAAUGAUAACACUGAGGCGCUCGCUGUCGCUGCAUAAGCGAUAAGCGCGGUUCGGGGGGCACCGGGCAACAGAAGCCCCCCACU
This 340-nucleotide transfer-messenger RNA is filed under the name Alphaproteobacteria bacterium. It matches the Rfam family "Alphaproteobacteria transfer-messenger RNA". From Rfam's summary of the family: Bacterial tmRNA, also known as 10Sa RNA or SsrA, is named for its dual tRNA and mRNA-like properties. Its role is to liberate the mRNA from a stalled ribosome. Lineage: Bacteria; Pseudomonadati; Pseudomonadota; Alphaproteobacteria. The record is from RNAcentral.